This is a non-coding RNA of Brachypodium distachyon (stiff brome), 98 nucleotides long. The record is from RefSeq and is marked provisional. NCBI's taxonomy places the organism in Eukaryota, Viridiplantae, Streptophyta, Magnoliopsida, Poales, Poaceae.
UGGGCGAAGCUGAUUAGUUUCAGUUGGUCUGGGCGAAGUUGAUUAGUUCCAGUUGGUGUCGUCCAAGUCGAUUGGAACUAAUGAGCUUCCCAAAACUA